GAGCCCAUUGCUCAAUGGUAGAGCGUUCGGCUCAAUUACAAAAGGCCACGGGUUCGAAUCCCAGGGGGUUCA
Molecule: transfer RNA, 72 nt
Filed under: Schistocephalus solidus
Lineage: Eukaryota; Metazoa; Platyhelminthes; Cestoda; Diphyllobothriidea; Diphyllobothriidae
Rfam family: tRNA
About the family: Transfer RNA (tRNA) molecules are approximately 80 nucleotides in length. Their secondary structure includes four short double-helical elements and three loops (D, anti-codon, and T loops). Further hydrogen bonds mediate the characteristic L-shaped molecular structure. tRNAs have two regions of fundamental functional importance: the anti-codon, which is responsible for specific mRNA codon recognition, and the 3' end, to which the tRNAs corresponding amino acid is attached (by aminoacyl-tRNA synthetases). tRNAs cope with the degeneracy of the genetic code in two manners: having more than one tRNA (with a specific anti-codon) for a particular amino acid; and 'wobble' base-pairing, i.e. permitting non-standard base-pairing at the 3rd anti-codon position.
Source: Rfam by way of RNAcentral